Long non-coding RNA from Peromyscus maniculatus bairdii (prairie deer mouse), 4348 nucleotides. RefSeq lists it as uncharacterized. Lineage: Eukaryota; Metazoa; Chordata; Mammalia; Rodentia; Cricetidae. The record is from RefSeq and is a predicted model, not a curated record.
GCAACAAAUUACAAAAUACUAAUUUUAAAAGCUAGAUACAAGAUACCAGCUAACAGAUACUAAGUUGCAGAAAAAGCAAGAGAGAAGGAAAGGGCCCAGUUCUUGAAAAUCCCUAUCACUGUAGACUUGCUUUGGCAGGAAAAUAAAGCAGGUAUAUUUUAAAUAUUUUUUUAGAGAAUGGUGGCAAUCCCAAAGAAAGAAUCAGGGUGCAAAGGACACUGACAUUUUAACUCAGAAAGAUCAGCAGCCUUUCCCUACAUGAAAUUCCUCUAAAAUCACUUGGAGAGUUAGUUCACAGACAGGCCUCUAGGGAAGAACUUUAAUCCCUAAUUAGAUUGUCUGAGGAAGCAGCUCUGGGGAAGAUUGUUAUUUUUACUUUGCAAUUAUAUUUUCUUAGCUGCAGAUAGACAAUAAUUAUGAAUGCACCUCUGUUUUUGCAAAAGCACACAGAUUAAUUAAUGUGCAUCCUCAGCUGAUCCAGACAGAGGGCUUGGAGGACAGAGCCAGAAUGCUGCCACGCAUGUGCCGUGUCCGUGAAUACGGGAGCAGGCUUCUAUUCACAUACUGUCUUCAGGGGAUAGGAGAGUGGAUGAUGAAUAGAAAAUGUGAAGAAAGAGGAACACUCAUUCUUACUGGGAAAAGUCGGCUGCGCACUUGCUAAGCCACGGAGCUGUGGGAUGUGCUGAUGAUCUUGCAGACUUUUCCAAUGGUGAAGUCUGCUUAUGGAUCUCUCUGCACUGGAGUGUUGAAGAAAGGACUGCCCAUAUUCUACUCCCUGCCUCACCUCCUGGGCAUCGGCCAGCGCGCGCAUCAUGUGCCAACAUGGCAGUGAUCGUACACGGCAAACCAACCACCGGACAAGUUUAUCAUGUUUAAAAAUCACAGCAGAAUUUCUUGUAAAAGUUUCACAGGCAGAGUGAAACAGCAUUUCUUUGUCAAACCAUUUCAUUAGAAUUUCUGCCUAAAGAAAGCAUCCAGAUUGGCCCUGUGUGCUGCUUCCUUUAGCUGGAAAAGCCUCUAUAAAGUAUUUCUGGGGACUGAUCCUUCAGGUACCACCCCCAGGAGGCGUAUCCUUGCCCGUGACCCUUAGUUUUCAGGAGGCAGUUUUGAGCUUGCUCUUUAGUGUAGAGAACAUUCCCCAUUUCGAUCACUCACCCCCCAUGCCUUCUGACAUUUGUGAUGCAUAUGUGUUACCAUUGGAUAGUCACUAGCAGUCACUAGGGAUGGGAGGCUCAAAGCAUCCAUCACACGUGACAGAAUGCAUUCCCCCAGCCACACCACACAAGUGCCUGACGGGCAGCUGCACAGAAGUGUGAAUGUCACUUUCUGAUGACUUCAGCUUCCCGGUGCAGGAAGCUGGGAAAGCAGACAGUCCUGCUGCUGGCACAUUCCUUCGGUGUGACUCUUUCCCAACACGGAGGCCAUAUCUUCAUCUGUAAACAGAGGCCGUAACACCUACCUCUGGCACUGUGAGAACCACACUGACGCCUCAUAAAGGCAGCCCUGGCUUGUGGGAAGCUUCUUCCUAGCCUUCUCUCUGUCCACACACACCUUCACCACACAGGGAAGUGUUGGCUGCAGCCAGGGCUGUGACAAAGGGCAGGCGGGGGAUACGCCCGUUCAUGGGGCGUGUUUCCUCACUCUUUCCGACGUUUCUUGCACCAAGCACUCGGUCAGUGUUGGGAGCGUCCCACUUGGGGCAGCUCUUGCAAUUGCCGGGUGCCAUACAGAUGAUGCCCGUAAAUUCGGCAGAGGAACAAUCCACGUGGAAACCAGUAAGAAACAGGCACCUAAUACCUCUUGCCACGCUCUGCAUUUCCUUCUUACUCUCCUGGUGGUGAGCACUGUUGUGACACUGAUUUUUUAAUAACAAAACACAAGGCUCGCCACUGAGAACCAGGAAGGGUCUAAGAGGGGGCAGGAAGCAAGUGGGACCCCUAUAACUACCAGUCCCCUCCCCCCCAACUUGACUAGGGACACUGUACUUGACAAGCUGCGUACAAAGUGCCACAGCGCAAGAGCUAAGGAGGAGCUCACCGAGACAGGUUCUGAGGACAAAGGAAGGAGGAAGACUGCACGUUCCAGUAAUUCCAGCAAGGCUUGCCUCAUCCUCCUUGGUCCUGCCCCACCUGCCCCGGGCCCAGCAUGGCUGGUCUCUGUUCUGUUGGAGCUGAGCGGCUGGGAGCACAGGCUAGCGAUGAAGGGCAGCCUGGGAAAGGCAAGGCCUUCCCUCUGCUUGCUCCUCACCACACCAGGUCAGGCAGUAGCUGUGUUCUUUCCUGGCCCCAGCCUUGUCACGUGACCCUCAGAGCCAACUGGGCCCUACGUUCUGUACCUCUGACCCCCUCCCUGUGAAAGCCUCCAGCUUCCCACGCCAGCUAAUUCUCGCUGUAAAAGCCUAUUUGCUUUACUGAAACUUAAUUCGCAAAGCAUGAUAGUGGUGAUUUCUGGAGCAUGGGGGUUGAAAUAGCCGUCAGGAUGAUCCAUUUUAGAACAUUCGAAUCUCAAAAAGAGACCUGGUGCCCAUUCAAGGUCCUUUAACAUUUCCCCCAGUGCCUCCGGCCUUCGGGAACCACCUACCUGACUUCUGUGCCCAUGGAGCUGCCUGUUCUUGAGACUUCAGAUGAAGGGUCAGAUGACAUUCUCCACCCUUCUGAGUUCCCUUAAUCUUGUCCACACCUGUGUAAACAAUCCCUCCACAGAACUCCCUCAGUUAACCCUUUAGUGGGCACGUUGUCUUCCUGGGACCCUUAGCUGAGACUUGUUUACCAGGAGGAGGGAGGAAGAGAAACAGGGAACCAAGAGCAGGAAGGGCAUCCCCAGCCGCGGUCACCGGCCACCGUCACCGGCCACCGGGUGGGAAGAGUGCAAUCAACGCGACGAGAAACAGAAUUUGGGCGCUGUGAAAGCUGAGGGACCAGAGCGGCCCUUUGAGGUUAACUGUGAGCAGGGCCCUGGGGAGAGCGUCCAGCAGCACCGAGGUGCGGAAGGCCAACAACAUGGUGUGUCUAAGCACCUCUUCCUUGCUUCCAUCUUAGAACUAAGCCCCAGAAACAGACCCCGCAAGUACCCCAGCCCUUCGUUUGCACUCUUGGACAUGGGCAUCUAAUCCUGAGAACCACCAUGUCCAGCACAAUGGGAGGCCAUCUUUAAUGGACAGAAAGGAAGAAGACCAGAGACGACAGUCAGGUGGAUGGUGGCAGGACGUCCUCAAGGGCCAGGCCUGAGGAGCAGUGAGACAGCACGGGACCCUGGGUCAACACGAUGGGAUAUCCUCGGCCUCUCAGAAGUCUUCAGACUCCUCCGCUCUGCUCUUUGUCCGCAUGACCUCACUUCCUGUGCUUUCUGGCAAAUGUGCUUCCUGUUUGGGAAUGAAAGCAUUCCAGGGGAGGCAGCUACCUGCCUUCCUCUUGCUUCCUGGUUCCUGCAGGAUAGCAAGGGUGCUCAGUGUGAGACCUUAGCUGGGUUCUGGUAGAACAGGGACCUGGAAACCGGGAAAGCCUGCCUGCAGUCACCUGCUGCAUCUGGAAACCGGGAAAGCCUGCCUGCGGUCAGUCACCUGCUGCAUCUUGAGUCACCAAGAAGAGGAGAACCCUCAUCCCAACCAUUGAAAAAAAAGCCCAUUAUUAACUUCAGCCACACCCCUCACAAACAGGUUUGCACGCUGGCCGUUUAGACAAGCGAAGGGCAAACAUUAAAUAAUUGCAGUCCACAGCACACACAGCCAGUAAAACAGCGUGUCACAGAGGGUGGCUUUCACAGCCCUAAGUACAGGUUGGGCUUCUGCCUGUUUCAUUUUGAGAUAAAUGUGGGUUUUUAGGGGAAAAAAAAUCACAGCCUAUGGAAAUUUCAUUAACUGUCAGAAACCUGUCUGUCUUUCUUAAUUGAAGUGAUCAUUUUUAUCCAGUUCAGAACCAUGUUCUCCUGUUGCUCUCCACGGAGAAGAGGUCUUAUUUUACAUCCCACAAAGUUUACACACGAAGUCUCUCUGUUUCUCCCCUCCUGCAUCACAGCCCUCUGAUAUCCUUGUCGAAGGACCAUUGCUUUUCUGCCACCAAUGGAGAAGUCGGUCACAAAGAGCUGGAGUGACCAGCUCAAGCCUGCAAGCCCCAGCUGAUGCUGUGGGGCCAGAGCUACACACCACCCACCUUUGGAACUCAAGCCUCCCACGAUCGGGUUAGGAACAGGACCUAGUAAUGCUUGGAGCAAGACUGCUUCUGCUGCAGGAGUCUCCAGUUGGAACUCGUCGUCUAGAAAUAUCCCAGGAGCUUUUUCACCAAGUUCAAUGUCACAGAACGGUACAGCUAAGAAGACCUCAGAAACUACUGAAGCCAGUCCCAGCCUCUUA